Molecule: long non-coding RNA, 614 nt
Organism: Hippocampus comes (tiger tail seahorse)
Lineage: Eukaryota; Metazoa; Chordata; Actinopteri; Syngnathiformes; Syngnathidae
Exons: 2
Source: RefSeq, a predicted model, not a curated record
AAGGAAGGAUUUCCGUGCACAAACAUUCAGGAGGAUGCUCCGCCCAGGCCUCAUUGAAUGUGAACUUGCGGCCAGCAGCCUGUUUUAUGACAACGCAUUAAAGAGGAGCCUGCAAGUCUCGUCCGCUGCCAACUCGCUACGCUUUAUUGAACUAAAACUGGUGUCUGCUUCGUUUGCAGUCUCUUCCCUCCGAGCUCAACCAGCAAAGAGGAAGAGGAGAAAGACGAGGAGGAAGACGAGUGUGUGGGAGUGCGCGAGGUAUGCUGGAGGAGGAAUGCAAGAAACCUGGUGUGGUAGCGGCCACAUUCGGUUAACACGCGGAAAUGACGCAUCUCCCGCGCGCCCGCCUGAGGGGUACGCACAGCAUCAUGAGAGGGAUUUGACUUGACACGAGUCACAGUCACUCCAUCCCCGACGUGGAAGAGGCGCAGGGGUGGGGGGGAUGAAUUAUUCAACCAGCCAGUGCUUAGCCCUGACGGCGUGUUGUCAUGUGGAGCUGAAGAGGCAACACCGAGCAGCACCUCCUCACCACGAGAAGAGGGCAGCCAACCUCCAUUUGCUUGAGGAAAGACGGGUAGCAUAUCAUUUCAGAGCGGGAGUAAAAGCAUAGAUGC